This 2904-nucleotide ribosomal RNA is filed under the name Escherichia coli EPEC C342-62. RNAcentral's name for it is "bacterial LSU rRNA". It matches the Rfam family "Bacterial large subunit ribosomal RNA". The record is from RNAcentral. Lineage: Bacteria; Pseudomonadati; Pseudomonadota; Gammaproteobacteria; Enterobacterales; Enterobacteriaceae.
UUAAGCGACUAAGCGUACACGGUGGAUGCCCUGGCAGUCAGAGGCGAUGAAGGACGUGCUAAUCUGCGAUAAGCGUCGGUAAGGUGAUAUGAACCGUUAUAACCGGCGAUUUCCGAAUGGGGAAACCCAGUGUGAUUCGUCACACUAUCAUUAACUGAAUCCAUAGGUUAAUGAGGCGAACCGGGGGAACUGAAACAUCUAAGUACCCCGAGGAAAAGAAAUCAACCGAGAUUCCCCCAGUAGCGGCGAGCGAACGGGGAGCAGCCCAGAGCCUGAAUCAGUGUGUGUGUUAGUGGAAGCGUCUGGAAAGGCGCGCGAUACAGGGUGACAGCCCCGUACACAAAAAUGCACAUGCUGUGAGCUCGAUGAGUAGGGCGGGACACGUGGUAUCCUGUCUGAAUAUGGGGGGACCAUCCUCCAAGGCUAAAUACUCCUGACUGACCGAUAGUGAACCAGUACCGUGAGGGAAAGGCGAAAAGAACCCCGGCGAGGGGAGUGAAAAAGAACCUGAAACCGUGUACGUACAAGCAGUGGGAGCACAGAGCAAUCUGUGUGACUGCGUACCUUUUGUAUAAUGGGUCAGCGACUUAUAUUCUGUAGCAAGGUUAACCGAAUAGGGGAGCCGAAGGGAAACCGAGUCUUAACUGGGCGUUAAGUUGCAGGGUAUAGACCCGAAACCCGGUGAUCUAGCCAUGGGCAGGUUGAAGGUUGGGUAACACUAACUGGAGGACCGAACCGACUAAUGUUGAAAAAUUAGCGGAUGACUUGUGGCUGGGGGUGAAAGGCCAAUCAAACCGGGAGAUAGCUGGUUCUCCCCGAAAGCUAUUUAGGUAGCGCCUCGUGAAUUCAUCUCCGGGGGUAGAGCACUGUUUCGGCAAGGGGGUCAUCCCGACUUACCAACCCGAUGCAAACUGCGAAUACCGGAGAAUGUUAUCACGGGAGACACACGGCGGGUGCUAACGUCCGUCGUGAAGAGGGAAACAACCCAGACCGCCAGCUAAGGUCCCAAAGUCAUGGUUAAGUGGGAAACGAUGUGGGAAGGCCCAGACAGCCAGGAUGUUGGCUUAGAAGCAGCCAUCAUUUAAAGAAAGCGUAAUAGCUCACUGGUCGAGUCGGCCUGCGCGGAAGAUGUAACGGGGCUAAACCAUGCACCGAAGCUGCGGCAGCGACGCUGAUGCGUUGUUGGGUAGGGGAGCGUUCUGUAAGCCUGCGAAGGUGUGCUGUGAGGCAUGCUGGAGGUAUCAGAAGUGCGAAUGCUGACAUAAGUAACGAUAAAGCGGGUGAAAAGCCCGCUCGCCGGAAGACCAAGGGUUCCUGUCCAACGUUAAUCGGGGCAGGGUGAGUCGACCCCUAAGGCGAGGCCGAAAGGCGUAGUCGAUGGGAAACAGGUUAAUAUUCCUGUACUUGGUGUUACUGCGAAGGGGGGACGGAGAAGGCUAUGUUGGCCGGGCGACGGUUGUCCCGGUUUAAGCGUGUAGGCUGGUUUUCCAGGCAAAUCCGGAAAAUCAAGGCUGAGGCGUGAUGACGAGGCACUACGGUGCUGAAGCAACAAAUGCCCUGCUUCCAGGAAAAGCCUCUAAGCAUCAGGUAACAUCAAAUCGUACCCCAAACCGACACAGGUGGUCAGGUAGAGAAUACCAAGGCGCUUGAGAGAACUCGGGUGAAGGAACUAGGCAAAAUGGUGCCGUAACUUCGGGAGAAGGCACGCUGAUAUGUAGGUGAAGUCCCUCGCGGAUGGAGCUGAAAUCAGUCGAAGAUACCAGCUGGCUGCAACUGUUUAUUAAAAACACAGCACUGUGCAAACACGAAAGUGGACGUAUACGGUGUGACGCCUGCCCGGUGCCGGAAGGUUAAUUGAUGGGGUCAGCGCAAGCGAAGCUCUUGAUCGAAGCCCCGGUAAACGGCGGCCGUAACUAUAACGGUCCUAAGGUAGCGAAAUUCCUUGUCGGGUAAGUUCCGACCUGCACGAAUGGCGUAAUGAUGGCCAGGCUGUCUCCACCCGAGACUCAGUGAAAUUGAACUCGCUGUGAAGAUGCAGUGUACCCGCGGCAAGACGGAAAGACCCCGUGAACCUUUUACUAUAGCUUGACACUGAACAUUGAGCCUUGAUGUGUAGGAUAGGUGGGAGGCUUUGAAGUGUGGACGCCAGUCUGCAUGGAGCCGGCCUUGAAAUACCACCCUUUAAUGUUUGAUGUUCUAACGUUGACCCGUGAUCCGGGUUGCGGACAGUGUCUGGUGGGUAGUUUGACUGGGGCGGUCUCCUCCUAAAGAGUAACGGAGGAGCACGAAGGUUGGCUAAUCCUGGUCGGACAUCAGGAGGUUAGUGCAAUGGCAUAAGCCAGCUUGACUGCGAGCGUGACGGCGCGAGCAGGUGCGAAAGCAGGUCAUAGUGAUCCGGUGGUUCUGAAUGGAAGGGCCAUCGCUCAACGGAUAAAAGGUACUCCGGGGAUAACAGGCUGAUACCGCCCAAGAGUUCAUAUCGACGGCGGUGUUUGGCACCUCGAUGUCGGCUCAUCACAUCCUGGGGCUGAAGUAGGUCCCAAGGGUAUGGCUGUUCGCCAUUUAAAGUGGUACGCGAGCUGGGUUUAGAACGUCGUGAGACAGUUCGGUCCCUAUCUGCCGUGGGCGCUGGAGAACUGAGGGGGCUGCUCCUAGUACGAGAGGACCGGAGUGGACGCAUCACUGGUGUUCGGGUUGUCAUGCCAAUGGCACUGCCCGGUAGCUAAAUGCGGAAGAGAUAAGUGCUGAAAGCAUCUAAGCACGAAACUUGCCCCGAGAUGAGUUCUCCCUGACUCCUUGAGAGUCCUGAAGGAACGUUGAAGACGACGACGUUGAUAGGCCGGGUGUGUAAGCGCAGCGAUGCGUUGAGCUAACCGGUACUAAUGAACCGUGAGGCUUAACCUU